UUGAACGCUGGCGGCAGGCCUAACACAUGCACGUCGAACGGUAACAGGAAGAAGCUUGCUUCUUUGCUGAAGAGUGGCGGACGGGUGAGUAAUGUCUGGGAAACUGCCUGAUGGAGGGGGAUAACUACUGGAAACGGUAGCUAAUACCGCAUAACGUCGCAAGACCAAAAAGGGGGACCUUCGGGCCUCUUGCCAUCGGAUGUGCCCAGAUGGGAUUAGCUAGUAGGUGGGGUAACGGCUCACCUAGGCGACGAUCCCUAGCUGGUCUGAGAGGAUGACCAGCCACACUGGAACUGAGACACGGUCCAGACUCCUACGGGAGGCAGCAGUGGGAAUAUUGCACAAUGGGCGCAAGCCUGAUGCAGCCAUGCCGCGUGUAUGAAGAAGGCCUUCGGGUUGUAAAGUACUUUCAGCGGGGAGGAAGGGAGUAAAGUUAAUACCUUUGCUCAUUGACGUUACCCGCAGAAGAAGCACCGGCUAACUCCGUG
Molecule: ribosomal RNA, 488 nt
Filed under: uncultured bacterium
Lineage: Bacteria
Description: partial 16S ribosomal RNA
Rfam family: Bacterial small subunit ribosomal RNA
Source: RNAcentral